CCAAAAGUGGGUCGCGGGGCCGUUUUUGGUGGGUCGCGAGCCUUUUUCUAAAAAGAGAGAAAAAUAAAGAUAAUCCAAUUUAGUGGCGAGUCAUUGUAGUUCCCCUCCGCACCCGCAGGGGGUCGUCGUGUCAGCAGCGACCGGUGAGGACACUCGUAUUACUGUAGAAGAAACUGCAUGUUUUCAUAGCAACAGCAGCAUGGCUAAACGCAAGUACGACAGCGAGUACAUUAAAUAUGGAUUUUCCUACAUCGAAGACAAAGGAGUCCAAAAGCACGCAUCUGAAUAAACUUUUCGAGCGGUUUAACGACUACUUUCCCGAUAAACAACCCGAGGACGACUGGGUGCGCGACCCGUUUGGAAUAAACAUGGAAAGCAUCACGUUGCCUAGCAGCGAUGAAUGUCAGCUGGUGGAGCUAUCAUGUGACCGCACUCUCAGAAAGAAAUUCACAGAGGAUUACCACAGACCUGACUGUGAACACCGUCGACACCCACCUCAGGGAGAUGCUGUCUAAGAUCUCAAGGCUGCUUGGUCGUGGUCUUUCUGGCACGUACUCUUCCAAGAUGAGCCGGGAAGUUUAACACUGAUGGAAUGACACCAGGUCUAAGCCGACAAACUUCCACUUCCUCCUCAACCCAUAGUCUCUGGGAAACCUACAUGGAGUAAGAAAAGUAGACAGAGAAGUAAUUAAGUCUGUACACAACAUAUUAAAAAGAAAUCAUGCUAAUAAAUUAAGUACAAAGAACCGAAUUCGCCAAUAUACUGGAGACCAGAGCUAUUUAAUUUGAUAAGUAUAACCUUGUUUAGUAACAUUUCAAUUAUUUGAGAGCAGUCCUAAAGAACUGCCUGUAAUCCCAAUCAUAAAAUGGGUUUGGAGGAAGAACAUAGAUGGUAAUCUGGAUAUAUAGCAACGUUUUCUCAGGAAGUUUAGUUCGCCAAGGGUUCUUUUUAAAGGCAACAUUACUUAAAACAUUGUUCAUUUGUUAUCAUAUUACUUUGUGGAACAUUUUAUAGCUUCUAUAAUAUGCUCCCUCAACAACGUCCCCAAUUCAUGUUGAAUGUUGGUUUGAGAACGUCCCUCCUUUGUUGUUAAGGAACAUUCAGAAGGUUUUCUAGAAGAACGUUCUGUCAUGCGUUCCCUCAGCAACGUUUUAGCGGGAACUUUAGUUCCUUGAGAGAGAAACUAACACUAUUACAUCAUUUUGCUGUAACGUUCUCAAAACUCAAUGUUGAAUUAAGAAUGUUCUUAAUUUGUUAUCUUAUUAUUUUGUGGAACAUUGUGGGAACAUUUUAUUGAUUCUAUAAUAUGUUCCCUCAACAAUGUCCCCAAAACAUUAAUGUUAGUUUGAGAACGUCUUUCCAUUAUUAUUGAGGAACAUCGAGAAUGUUUUCUGGAAGAACGUCCUCUAAUGUGUUCCUUCAACAACGUUCCCAAACAUUAACGCUGGUUUGAGAACGUCUGUCCUUUGUUAUUAAGGAACAUUGAGAAGGUUUUCUAGAACGUUUUCAGCAGGAAGUUUAGUUCCUUGAGUGUUCUUCAUUAACCCUCCCGUUGUCCUCAUUUACGGGCACCAAACUUAUUGUUUCCUUGUCUGAAAAAAAUCCAAAAAUUCUGCAAAAAAAUUCCCCAAAUUUCUGAAAAUCUGCAAAGCCUUCAGGAAGAAAAUUCCAAUAAUUCCUUAAGUUUUCCUUAAAGGUUUUAUAUAUAAAAAAAAAACAAUAUAUCCCCCAAAUUUGGCAAGAAAUAAAAAAAUUUUAAAAAUUUAAAAAAAUAAAAAAAAAUAAAACUUGUUAAAAAAAAAUUUUUAAAAAUGAGUAAAAAUUUCCCCAAAAAAUCCUAAAAAUAUCGAAAAUGAUUACAGUAAAACUUCUAUUUUCUUUAAGAACAUUCAGGAAAAAAAUCUACCAAAAUCCAGAUUUUUUUGUGAAUGUUCUUAAACAUUUUUUUAAGUUUUUUUUUUCACCAAAAAUGUUUCAAAAAUUUCCCAAAAAUGUUGAAAAUGGGGAUGUUUUCAAUGUGAAAACAAUUUUUCCCCCCACAUUUUCAAACUUUAAAACGGGUCAGUUUGACUCGCAGGACGACACGAGGGUUAAUGGCAGGAUAACAAAAGAUGUUCUAAAAGUAUCUGGUGACAACACCAUUAGAUCAUAAUGUGCAAAUGUUCUCAAAACUGAAUGUUGAAUCGAGAACGUUCUUCAGUUGUUGUCAUACUAUGCUGUCUGUGUAGUUUCUCAUUCAUCCAGGUCAUGGUCAUCCAAAGUUGUUUAAAUCAAUCCAGCUGGACUUUAACUUUCUUAAAGUCCAGCUGGAUUGAUUUAAACAGCUUUGGGUCGUACUAUGCUGUUGAACAUUGUGGGAACAUUUUACCUGACUGACCAGGGGUCCGUUUCACGAAGCAGCUUUAGUGAAAACUCUGAGUUUGUUAACCCUGAAAUGAGGGAAACUCAGAGUUUUCCGUUUCACAAAGGGAGGUAACUCAAACCAGAGACAGAGGGGUAACUCUACCCUGUUUCACAAAGAGAGGUAACUUAAACUCUCGGUCAGUUACCAUAGUAACAGACUCUAUGAAUCUAACCUGGUCAGGACCAGGUUUAUCUCAGUAAACCUUGAGUUUCUCUCAGUCUCCGCCCUCUUUCAGUCACAUGCUAUUAGAUUCAUUCAUUCAUUCAUUCGUUCAUUCAUUCAUUCGUUCAUUCAUUCAUUCAUUCAUUCAUUCAUUCAGCAGGUGAGUUUUGAGCCUCGUUUUGCUGUCUAUAAAUGUCAUGUCCUUUUAUUAACGAUCCAGUGGAUGAAGGAGCAGCAUUACUGCACAGAGAAUUAAAUAUUCAUCAGGAGAUUGUUAUCAGACCUCACAUAGAUGUUCUUGCAUUUCCAGACAAUUAUCUUUUUGAACGGUACCGUUUCACAUCACAGUCCAUAAUCUACAUCCAACCUAAUCCAUCCUUACAUUUACAACAUCACCAACCACAGUCAUGCUCUCACAUCCCAGCAGAUAUUGUGUGUUGUACUGUGGUUCUUUUGGAAGUUUUUUAUAUAAUGUCAGAGAUGCAGAGCACUUCAGUAAGACAACUGUAUGCAGGACGGUCAGAAAAGUGUGUCUGGCCCUGAAAUGACUUUUACCAUCUUUGUGGUUUUCCCUGGACAUAAACCUGUCAGAGUCAUCAAGGAGGAGUUUCACAGGAUUGCAGGUGAAUGAUGUAGAGAUCUGCUAAAUUAAUUUUAAAUCCUAUUCUGUUAAUGACAUUGUGUUGCAACCUCAGACUGGGAUUAGUCAUUUUAAUUUCUUUUAGGAUUUCUCAGUGUGAUUGGCUGCAUUGAUGGAACACACAUCCCCAUCACAGCUCCCUCACAUAAUGAAGCUGAUCAUGUGAACAGGAAGUCCAUUCACAGCAUAAAUGUGCAGGUAGGUUACAGGUAGAUUGACUACGGUUUCAAAAUGUUAAAGACUGCAUCAUAGUUCAACAUCAGUCAUUCUCUGCACUGUCAAGAUCAUAUGUGAUGCUGCAUACAGCAUUUCUAAUGUGGAGGCCAAGUGGUCUGGAUCUGUUCAUGACUGGAGGAUUUAUCAUGAGUCUAACCUGAGCAACAGACUGCAACGUGGAGAGUUUGAUGGCCUUCUGCUGGGUGACAGGGGUUACCAUGCCAACCCAGGCUGAUGACCUCAUACCCUGACCCUGAACCAGACCCCCAACAGAACUUCAACCGGGCUCACUGCAGGAUGAGAGCCUGGGUGGAGAUGACCAUAGACCUGCUGAAAGCCUGUUUCCAGUGUCUACAUCACCUCAGGGUGACUCCUGAGAGGCCUGUGAUAUUAUUGUGGCAUGUGUUGUUCUUCAUAAUAUUACCACUAUUAGAGGAGAGCAACACUCUGCCCUACAAACUGAAGACCCAGAUGAUGACCUCAUCCACCUGCAGCUAUCCAGGACAGCAGAGCAGUCAGAGACACCAUAUGCAAUAAUCACUGCAGAGUUUAAGUCACCAUCAUCACCACCACAGCAGUGAAAUAAACACAUGACAUACAUUUCA
Long non-coding RNA from Amphiprion ocellaris (clown anemonefish), 4028 nucleotides. RefSeq lists it as uncharacterized. NCBI's taxonomy places the organism in Eukaryota, Metazoa, Chordata, Actinopteri, Pomacentridae. The record is from RefSeq and is a predicted model, not a curated record. The transcript is spliced from 3 exons.